AGGCCCACGUGCAACAAGUAAGCAGGCAUAGUCUUUCUGGAAGAGGAGCACGGGCACCUGCUUGCUAAUUUCCCUCAAUACCAAGAAACCUGAAUCAUCACCAGAGACCGCAAACAUAGGAUUUUGAAAACAACAAAGUAGAUGAGAGCAGAGAAAAGGAGGGACAGAUGCACAAUGGGAGAGAAAGAAAGAACAAAAGGGACAGGAGGGGCAAGAUACAUCUGGCUGUGCCUGAAGCAAGAACUACUGUUGGAUUUUUUACUAACAUGAGCCAAUCACUUCUGUUGACUUUAACCAUCUAUAAAAAAUCACAGAAGACUGGCAUAUGGAGGUUAACUCAAG
Molecule: long non-coding RNA, 342 nt
Organism: Prionailurus viverrinus (fishing cat)
Lineage: Eukaryota; Metazoa; Chordata; Mammalia; Carnivora; Felidae
Exons: 3
Source: RefSeq, a predicted model, not a curated record